GCCCUCGUGGCCCAAUGGUAGGGUUUUACUUUCCGGCAGUAAGGGUUGCGGGUUCGAGUCCCGCCGAGAGCU
Molecule: non-coding RNA, 72 nt
Organism: Lizanozyma spartinae
Lineage: Eukaryota; Fungi; Ascomycota; Pichiomycetes; Serinales; Debaryomycetaceae
Source: the annotation of a RefSeq genome assembly